UGGCUCUCGCAUCGAUGAAGAACGCAGCGAAAUGCGAUAAGUAAUGUGAAUUGCAGAAUUCAGUGAAUCAUCGAAUCUUUGAACGCACCUUGCGCUCCUUGGUAUUCCGAGGAGCAUGCCUGUUUGAGUGUCGUUAAAUUCUCAACCUAUCUGGCUUUUAUAAGUCAGCUUAGGCUUGGAUGUUGGAGGUUGCUGGCUUCUCAGAAUUCAGCUCCUCUUAAAUUUAUUAGCAAAGUCUUUGCUGACCCUCUUUGGUAUGAUAAUUAUCUAUACCAUCGAGAUUUAGCUUUCCAUCUCGGAAGGAGUUUGCUUCUAACCGUCUACACAGACAACUUGACAAUUUGACCUCAAAUCAGGUAGGACUACCCGCUGA
RNAcentral lists this unclassified non-coding RNA (373 nucleotides) under uncultured fungus. Its description in RNAcentral is "partial contains 5.8S ribosomal RNA and internal transcribed spacer 2". The stretch from base 1 to 133 matches the Rfam family "5.8S ribosomal RNA", at positions 22 to 154 of the family's 154-position model. Lineage: Eukaryota; Fungi. The record is from RNAcentral.